CUCAGCCUCCCAAAGUGCUGGGAUUACAGGCAUGAGCCACCGCACCUGUUCCUAUUUCCCUUUUCUAGACUCAAGCUAUACUCCAUAUUUAUUGGAAGCCAGUUACUAAGACCUGCUUACACUCAAAAGUAGUGGAAUUGAGACAGGGUUUCACCAUGUUGCUAAGGCUGGUCUUGAACUCUCGGACUCAAGUGAUGCUCCUGCCUCAGCCUCCCAAAGUGCUGGGAUUACAGGAUUUCUCCUUUCUGCCACCUUGUGAAGAAGGUGCCUUGCUUCCUUUUUGCUUUCCGUCAUGACUGUAAGUUUCCUGAGGCCUCCCCAGCCAUGCUGAACUGUGAGUCAAUUAAACCUCUUUCCUUUAUAAAUUACACAGUCUCGGGCCAUUCUUUAUAGCAGUAUGAAAAUGGACUAAUACAGCUUGUGUGGUAAUUUCACUGGAUGAUGCAAAAGCUUUUUUGAAAAUGUUCAAGGUUCUGCCCAAAUAUGUGAUGGUGGAAUUUAUUAUGAUAUGCAAAUGAUACUUAUAGUA
Long non-coding RNA from Pongo pygmaeus (Bornean orangutan), 529 nucleotides. RefSeq lists it as uncharacterized. NCBI's taxonomy places the organism in Eukaryota, Metazoa, Chordata, Mammalia, Primates, Hominidae. The record is from RefSeq and is a predicted model, not a curated record. The transcript has 3 exons.